RNAcentral lists this ribosomal RNA (389 nucleotides) under uncultured bacterium. Its description in RNAcentral is "bacterial SSU rRNA". It matches the Rfam family "Bacterial small subunit ribosomal RNA", at positions 1 to 440 of the family's 1533-position model. The record is from RNAcentral.
CGGCCGCGUCGACGGGGAUAACUACUCGAAAGAGUAGCUAAUACCGCAUGAGAUCUACGGAUGAAAGCAGGGGUGCGUAACGCGUGGGAACCUGCCUUUUGGUUCGGAAUAACAGUGAGAAAUUACUGCUAAUACCGGAUAAUGUCUUCGGACCAAAGAUUUAUCGCCAUUAGAUGGGCCCGCGUAAGAUUAGCUAGUUGGUGGGGUAAAGGCCUACCAAGGCGACGAUCUUUAGCUGGUCUGAGAGGAUGAUCAGCCACACUGGGACUGAGACACGGCCCAGACUCCUACGGGAGGCAGCAGUGGGGAAUAUUGGACAAUGGGCGAAAGCCUGAUCCAGCAAUGCCGCGUGAGUGAUGAAGGCCUUAGGGUUGUAAAGCUCUUUUACU